RNAcentral lists this ribosomal RNA (471 nucleotides) under Simonsiella muelleri (Scheibenbakterien Muller 1911). RNAcentral describes it as "bacterial SSU rRNA". It matches the Rfam family "Bacterial small subunit ribosomal RNA", at positions 30 to 486 of the family's 1533-position model. The record is from RNAcentral. Lineage: Bacteria; Pseudomonadati; Pseudomonadota; Betaproteobacteria; Neisseriales; Neisseriaceae.
AUUGAACGCUGGCGGCAUGCUUUACACAUGCAAGUCGGACGGCAGCGGGGUAGUGCUUGCAUUACUGCCGGCGAGUGGCGAACGGGUGAGUAUAAUAUUGGAACGUACCGAGUAAUGGGGGAUAACUAUCCGAAAGGAUGGCUAAUACCGCAUACGUCCUGAGGGAGAAAGCGGGGGACAGGCAACUGCCUCGCGUUAUUUGAGCGGCCAAUAUCGGAUUAGCUAGUUGGUGGGGUAAAGGCUUACCAAGGCGACGAUCCGUAGCGGGUCUGAGAGGAUGAUCCGCCACACUGGGACUGAGACACGGCCCAGACUCCUACGGGAGGCAGCAGUGGGGAAUUUUGGACAAUGGGGGGAACCCUGAUCCAGCCAUGUCGCGUGUAUGAAGAAGGCCUUAGGGUUGUAAAGUACUUUUGUUAGGGAAGAAAAGGCAUUUGCUAAUAUCAGAUGCUGAUGACGGUACCUAAAGAA